AGAAUCAACGCUGGCGGCGUGCCUAACACAUGCAAGUCGCACGAGAAAGGGUAGCAAUACCUGAGUACAGUGGCGCACGGGUGAGUAACACGUGAAUCAUCUACCUCCGAGUGGGGAAUAACUGAGAGAAAUCUUAGCUAAUACCGCAUAAUACCCACGGGUCAAAGCAGCAAUGCGCUUGGAGAGGAGUUCGCGGCAGAUUAGUUAGUUGGCGGGGUAAUGGCCCACCAAGACGAUGAUCUGUAUCCGGCCUGAGAGGGCGCACGGACACACUGGAACUGAAACACGGUCCAGACUCCUACGGGAGGCAGCAGUGGGGAAUUUUGCGCAAUGGGGAAACCCUGACGCAGCAACGCCGCGUGGAGGAUGAAGCCCCUUGGGGUGUAAACUCCUUUCGAUCGGGAAGAUAAUGACGGUACCGAUAUAAGAAGCCCCGGCUAACUUCGUGCCAGCAGCCGC
RNAcentral lists this ribosomal RNA (459 nucleotides) under uncultured bacterium. Its description in RNAcentral is "SSU rRNA". It matches the Rfam family "Bacterial small subunit ribosomal RNA", at positions 26 to 518 of the family's 1533-position model. The record is from RNAcentral.